CCUACGGGGGGCAGCAGUGGGGAAUAUUGCGCAAUGGGGGAAACCCUGACGCAGCAACGCCGCGUGAAGGAUGAAGGUUUUCGGAUUGUAAACUUCUUUGAUGAGGGACGAUAAUGACGGUACCUCAAAAACAAGCCACGGCUAACUACGUGCCAGCAGCCGCGGUAAUACGUAGGUGGCAAGCGUUGUCCGGAUUUACUGGGUGUAAAGGGCGUGUAGGCGGGGAUGCAAGUCAGAUGUGAAAUUCCGGGGCUCAACCCCGGCGCUGCAUCUGAAACUGUAUCUCUUGAGU
Molecule: ribosomal RNA, 292 nt
Filed under: uncultured Clostridium sp.
Lineage: Bacteria; Bacillati; Bacillota; Clostridia; Eubacteriales; Clostridiaceae
Description: partial 16S ribosomal RNA
Rfam family: Bacterial small subunit ribosomal RNA
Source: RNAcentral